UUGGGGCCCUUUAUAACUUGCUGUUCUGUGUGAGCCAAGGCUCUAUGUUGAAAACCUUUCUUUUACCUAAAAUGGUUUUUCUUUUAGAAAUUGUGACUGGGAUGAAAAAUUGUCUCAUUGACACUCAUACAACAUCUUAUAUCUAUUGGCUUAUCACUAUAAGGAAUGUAUGAUCCAAAAUGUACACAGGCUUUGGUAAUUUAACUGGAGUGAUUAGUUUCAAUUCUUUUUUAAAACACUUGGGUCACUGGUUUCCAGUAUAUGAUGUAGAUUUUUAUAAAUGAGAUGCAAAAAAGAUAUCAUUUAUUUAUUUGAUCUUUAGUCUGUAUAGCUACAUGUUCUUUGCAAGUAUAGAAUAAUAGAGUAUUACAUUGUUAUUAUGAAUUAAUAUAACGAAAAUUGUAACUGACGGCUUAUCACAACAAUACAUUCUUUUAACCAAACCCAGUAUUUUUUUUACUCUCAUCAGUGAAUGUAAACAACACAUGUAUGAACAAUAAUAGCAAAGCCUUUUACAAGAUACAAUGUUUUAUAAAGUAUGAAUCCAGAAAGCGGGCACACUUGGAAUGUACUCUCUAACAAUUAUUUCAAACAACAUUUAAAAUUGUCAAAAUCGUUAAUUGUGAAGUAUCGUGUCGAGAAUCUGGAAAAUUUCUGGGAGAAGAAUGUCGGGUGUGCCA
RNAcentral lists this long non-coding RNA (680 nucleotides) under Mytilus galloprovincialis (Mediterranean mussel). The record is from RNAcentral. Lineage: Eukaryota; Metazoa; Mollusca; Bivalvia; Mytilida; Mytilidae.